Spinacia oleracea (spinach) is the source of this 710-nucleotide long non-coding RNA. RefSeq lists it as uncharacterized. NCBI's taxonomy places the organism in Eukaryota, Viridiplantae, Streptophyta, Magnoliopsida, Caryophyllales, Amaranthaceae. The record is from RefSeq and is a predicted model, not a curated record. The transcript has 2 exons.
CUCCUCUCUCUCUCCUAAAUGCAGAUUUGCUCCUCUCCCCUCCAUAACUAAGGUAAAGGAUCGGUGGCGAUGGUGGAAGUGUUGAUCCUUCAUCACAUCAGGCUCAAAGCGGUUGUAGGUACGGCAGAUCGAAGGUGCGACGAAGUUCUCGGCCUUGUUGCCGCCGCCGCUCUAUUUGAGUAACAAGUCGAAGGCGGUUAUUCCGUUGAUGUUGGAGGCCAGAACUAGUUGUCGGAUUCCGUGUUGAAAUGAGGACGAGGAGGCGGAGUAUUCGAUGGCGGUGAUAGUGGAGGUCUUCGCUGUCGCCAGUAGAUCCAUCGACACCAUCGACGAACACCCUCAAAUUCAUCAACGACGGCCGCAGAACCAUAAUCUGUUCUCGUUCCUCUACUCUGCUGCUGACAUUGUUUAUUCGCGUGGUGGUGGUGGCCGUUGUGUUUCACAGCCGGAGGAGAGGAAGCGUUGCAUGUUGCUUGGUGGAAAAAUAGCAAGAUUAUUUAAUUACCAAAUUUGUAUUGUAAAUGUAAACAAUUUUAUUUAUUUUUAUUAGUCAGCAUUAAAUUGGUUUUAGUUAAGAAUAAUUUCAUUUUAGUUACAUUUUUGUUAUAUUUAGUUAAGACUAUUUUCGUUUUAGUUAAAAAUAAUUUCGUUUUAGCUAUAAUUAAAUUUGUAUUAGUUUGAAAUAAUUAGUUCGGGAUUUUUUCGUUUUA